UGGGGAAUAUUGGACAAUGGGCGAAAGCCUGAUCCAGCCAUGCCGCGUGUGUGAAGAAGGUCUUCGGAUUGUAAAGCACUUUAAGUUGGGAGGAAGGGCAUUAACCUAAUACGUUAGUGUUUUGACGUUACCGACAGAAUAAGCACCGGCUAACUCUGUGCCAGCAGCCGCGGUAAUACAGAGGGUGCAAGCGUUAAUCGGAAUUACUGGGCGUAAAGCGCGCGUAGGUGGUUUGUUAAGUUGGAUGUGAAAGCCCCGGGCUCAACCUGGGAACUGCAUUCAAAACUGACAAGCUAGAGUAUGGUAGAGGGUGGUGGAAUUUCCUGUGUAGCGGUGAAAUGCGUAGAUAUAGGAAGGAACACCAGUGGCGAAGGCGACCACCUGGACUGAUACUGACACUGAGGUGCGAAAGCGUGGGGAGCAAACAGG
RNAcentral lists this ribosomal RNA (429 nucleotides) under uncultured Pseudomonas sp. RNAcentral's name for it is "bacterial SSU rRNA". It matches the Rfam family "Bacterial small subunit ribosomal RNA", at positions 355 to 776 of the family's 1533-position model. Lineage: Bacteria; Pseudomonadati; Pseudomonadota; Gammaproteobacteria; Pseudomonadales; Pseudomonadaceae. The record is from RNAcentral.